CGGAGAGUUUGAUCCUGGCUCAGGAUGAACGCUGGCGGCGUGCCUAAUACAUGCAAGUCGAACGCACAGCGAAAGGUGCUUGCACCUUUCAAGUGAGUGGCGAACGGGUGAGUAACACGUGGACAACCUGCCUCAAGGCUGGGGAUAACAUUUGGAAACAGAUGCUAAUACCGAAUGAAACUUAGUGUCGCAUGAUACGAAGUUAAAAGGCGCUUUGGCGUCACCUAGAGAUGGAUCCGCGGUGCAUUAGUUAGUUGGUGGGGUAAAGGCCUACCAAGACAAUGAUGCAUAGCCGAGUUGAGAGACUGAUCGGCCACAUUGGGACUGAGACACGGCCCAAACUCCUACGGGAGGCUGCAGUAGGGAAUCUUCCACAAUGGGCGAAAGCCUGAUGGAGCAACGCCGCGUGUGUGAUGAAGGCUUUCGGGUCGUAAAGCACUGUUGUAUGGGAAGAACAGCUAGAAUAGGGAAUGAUUUUAGUUUGACGGUACCAUACCAGAAAGGGACGGCUAAAUACGUGCCAGCAGCCGCGGUAAUACGUAUGUCCCGAGCGUUAUCCGGAUUUAUUGGGCGUAAAGCGAGCGCAGACGGUUGAUUAAGUCUGAUGUGAAAGCCCGGAGCUCAACUCCGGAAUGGCAUUGGAAACUGGUUAACUUGAGUGCAGUAGAGGUAAGUGGAACUCCAUGUGUAGCGGUGGAAUGCGUAGAUAUAUGGAAGAACACCAGUGGCGAAGGCGGCUUACUGGACUGUAACUGACGUUGAGGCUCGAAAGUGUGGGUAGCAAACAGGAUUAGAUACCCUGGUAGUCCACACCGUAAACGAUGAACACUAGGUGUUAGGAGGUUUCCGCCUCUUAGU
This 858-nucleotide ribosomal RNA is filed under the name uncultured bacterium. RNAcentral describes it as "bacterial SSU rRNA". It matches the Rfam family "Bacterial small subunit ribosomal RNA", at positions 1 to 844 of the family's 1533-position model. The record is from RNAcentral.